This is a long non-coding RNA of Nicotiana tabacum (common tobacco), 845 nucleotides long. RefSeq lists it as uncharacterized. The record is from RefSeq and is a predicted model, not a curated record. Lineage: Eukaryota; Viridiplantae; Streptophyta; Magnoliopsida; Solanales; Solanaceae.
CAUAGGAUUCCCUCACCCGUCCAAUUUUUUUCAUCAUCCUUAUCCUUAAUUGGGUCUCACGCGUACAUGACCCGACCCAAAAACUUUUUCUUUGUAGCCAAGCACACAUAUUAUAUGGAGUGUAUAAAUAUAUCUUGGGGAUAUCUAAAAGUGAGGAGGAACCCUAGAGCCCUAAAGAAAGAAAAAGUUGUGCAGCAGCUGAUAAAAAAAUGCAGUAGCAAGAGCUAAAAAAAACCCAGCUUCAUCUCCCUCAAGAACACCUGCUAAUCACCAUUAAAGCAUUCUAAAAUCAGCACCUAAAACUCGACAAAAUACAUCCAUUUUUACCUCAAGUCCACCCCAAAAUACAAUAGAAAUCCAAGCCGAAAAGGAGCAGCAAAACCAGUUUUAAAACCUCCAAAAUCCAGCCAAGAACUCCAGCAAAGCUUCAGCUCGAAAUCGGGCUUCCGACGAAUGGUUCCGGUAAGUUUUGAGGUUCCGGUGCGGUCUUCGGGUGGCGGGUCUGUUUGUUUUUAGGUUGUCGGCAUGCCUUUCCUUGUAUGCUGACCAGAGGCUCUUGCAAAUACAGAAGCUAAUUAAAAAAAAGAUUCAGGUAGUUUUGAAUCCCGUAACGGGUGUUGAUUGCUUAGUGGCAGAGUCAUUGGAGUUAGCAAGGUAGUUGCCCGACGUUUGCAGCACUGUUAUUUCUCCCUCUUUUCUUCCUUAGACUGUAUUUAGUACAUUUCUAGACUCUUUGUUGUAUUCAGAUCUUUGUAGAUGCUCGUGACUUGUGAUACCCCGAUGUCGGGCUUGUAUAUUUAUUCUGCACUAGUUGUUUAGACUUAUAUUAUAAGAUUUCUUCUUAA